GAUGAACGCUAGCGGGAGGCCUAAUACAUGCAAGUCGAACGGUAACAGGUAGCAAUACGCUGACGAGUGGCGCACGGGUGCGUAACGCGUACACAAUCUGCCUUAUACUGGGGCAUAGCCUUUGGAAACGAAGAAUAAUUCCCCAUAACAUAUAGAAGAGGCAUCUCUUUUAUAUUAAAGCUCAGGCGGUAUAAGAUGAGUGUGCGUCCGAUUAGGUAGUUGGUGAGGUAACGGCUCACCAAGCCAACGAUCGGUAGCUGGUCUGAGAGGAUGAUCAGCCACACGGGCACUGAGACACGGGCCCGACUCCUACGGGAGGCAGCAGUAGGGAAUAUUGGACAAUGGGCGCAAGCCUGAUCCAGCCAUCCCGCGUGAAGGAUGAAGGUCCUCUGGAUUGUAAACUUCUUUUCUUCGGGAAUAAAAACUGGGGUUCUCCUCAGCUUGAAGGUACCGAAGGAAUAAGCACCGGCUAACUCCGUGCCAGCAGCCGCGGUAAAGU
Molecule: ribosomal RNA, 499 nt
Filed under: uncultured bacterium
Lineage: Bacteria
Description: bacterial SSU rRNA
Rfam family: Bacterial small subunit ribosomal RNA
Source: RNAcentral